AAUAUGGAACUUUGUGGGAGAGAAAAAAGUUUGAGAAAAUAUACAAUGCGAGAUUUAAGGUAGAUUUUGUGUAGAUUUAGAAAAUAUAUUAAUUGAAAUAGGGAAGUUUCCAUAUUUUCGUCAUUUGACUAUAAUAUGUGUCUUACGUUGAGUAGAACACUGCAUAAUGGGUGUGAAAUUUAUUAUUUCCUAGGCAUAACAUAAAGUAAUAGCUAGAACAGGUUAUAACACACAAAUAAGAUAAAGUAAAUCGCAGAGUUAUUUGUAUAAGUUGUAAUCAAGCUUUAAGUACACUAACGACAUCUUGCCAGAUUAAUACCAAAAGAAUUAUAUUUGUGUAUAGUACUUAGUAUCAGAUUUCUAAACUAAAUAGAUGACCGAAUGAGUAUUUUAUCCUCAUUUAGGAUUUAAAAAAAAUAUGAUUCCACUAUUUAAGAAAAAAAAUUAAACAUAUAAAUAGUCAUACUAAUGUUUAUAAUAGUUUCAUAAUUUUUUGAAAUUUUAAAACUUAAAAUACUAUUUUCUAUUACAAAAAAGUAAAAUAUGUCCAAAAGUGGUCUAAAGAUCAAAAGUCUUAUUGAGACAAAUAAAAGUUGAGAGUAUCUCAUUUUGUCAAUUUUCCCAUGUUUAUAUUACUUAACUUUUAAACACACAGCUAAAAUAUAUGUUUUCGGGUUAUAGGAUCAAAUGAUUAAUAGAAGUAAGCUUUGUUUAUAAUCACACUUAUGGUGUCAAAUGGUUGGCUGUGAAGUGUCUUCUCAUAAAAUGGAAGAUUUACAUUUCUAGCUUAUAACAAAACAACCCAACCCAACCAGUAGCAUACGGUAAAUGUUUAUUUCACAUUAAAAAGCCUCAAAACUUUAAUAUUUGGCAGAAUCUAACGUUUCCCGGUUCAUAAGUGUGACGUUUAAAAAUUUUCUUAUCUUUUACCAACCACUGAGAAAGAAAAAUUAGCAUAAAGACACUAUAUUCUUUAAUUUUUGUAACUUUUAAUCUUUUGCACUUUGUAGAUGCGAAUAUGUGGAGGACUUCUCACUUCUCACAGGCACAUACAUGAUAUCGAACAAGUUUUAGUUGUGUCCUAACGUCCUUUGUGGUCCUUAGGCAAGUAGUUCGGAUGAGAGUUAGGUCCAUCGAUUUAGGUCGUAUCAAUUAUUGUUAUAAUUUUUUUAAAAAUGUAAGGACAGUCGAAAGUUAUUCGACCAAAUUGUAUAGAUCCAGCACAUGUUCAGCAAUUAAUAAAUACUAACUAGAGUUUUGAUGGAUUUAUUUUCUAUAUUUUAGUUUUUUGUUAAGUGUAUUUUCUCAAAUGUAAUAAAUGUAUUGUUAUUGUCUAAUUGAAACAUCUUUAUUGAAGUAUAUUGAACAAUAUAAGAUGUUUUGUGUUUCAUUUCAUUUAUAAUUUGAUCAUAUGUUUUUUGAUCUUCUAAUGCUUUGUUAUCUUGGUUAUUCUUAAAAAAAUUAUUUUUAGUAUUUAUGUGUCUCCUUUAAUCACAUUUAAACUAAAUAUUGUUUUUCGUGUUGGUAUUAACUAAAUUUUUUUGCUUCAAAAUUUUUGAAGAUGAGUUAUAAAUUUAAAUAAAUUUGAUUUAAUAUUUUAAGAGUUUAUAUAUUUAGAAGAGAAAAUUAUAAUGUUUUUAAUUAAACUGAAAGUUGAAUAGAGUUAACUUAUAUCUUCGCUGGAAAUUUUUAUUUAUUUAGAAUUAUGUUUUUGAGAAGUAGUAUAAUACAUACAUGCAAAGAGUAAUAAGUUUGUAGGUAUAAUAUGGAGCCUUUUCCAUUUUGUUACCCUUUUUUUUCCUCUUCAACGAGAGUUUAGGGGAUUUGUAAAGCUUUUUUUUUUGAAACAUAAACAGUAUGUAAAUUUUCGUAACACUAAUCAAUGCUUAUAUUUGUUUUAUUUGUUUGGUUAGUAGCAAUCCUCAAUUCACAUUGUUGCAGUUCGAGCAUGAUUAAAAGUGCAAAUGGUUAUUUCUGAACUUAUCAAUAGAAGAGUGUUUUAAAAAUAUAUAAAUUUGAUCUAUUUUUAUAAAUAUGUACAUUUCUUCUAUUUUAUACGUAAUAUUAUUACAGAAAAAGAUAAACUUUUAUAUUCUAAUAUCUGUAGUAUGCUAUCCGGUUUAAAAUUUGGAAUUUUAAGUUUGAUAAUACUUUUACUUCAUAUAUUAAUAAAAAAAUAAAAAUAGCUUUAUCUAUGAAGUUUUCUGAACCCAUUACAGUAGAAACUCUAUGAGUUAAUAUUCGAUAAAUUAAUAAACGUAAAAAAAUUAAUAAACUCCAUCAAUUCUGAAUUGGGUCAAUAUAAAAUAUGACACAAUUCGAUAAAUUAAUAAAAUAAUAAAUUCUUGAAUUUUUUGUGUAAAUAUAUAUUCCCAAUAAAAACAUAAAUUAAUAACCGGUGCAUAUAAAUUUAUAUAAAUAUAAUAAUAUAUUGUAUAGUUUGCCUGUAUUUUAUUCAUAGUGAAGUUUAUCUUUAAACUUUAUAAGUAUUUAAAAAUAUUUAAAUGUUAUUUUGUCAUUUUAUACUUAAAAUGCAUAUACAUUUAUGGUAAAUAUUUUCUAUACACCUUAUAGUUGAACAAUAGUAACAUAAAAAGUUUUAUCUAUAACAAUUAAUCAACCAUUCAUAUAUCUUAAAAUCAAAUACCUUUUUAAACAGAAAAUAUAUUCUUCUAAAUUUUUUUUUUUUGUAAAUUAAUAACUCGAAGAGAAAGAUCUAAACAUCGAGAUCAAUAUUGUUGUAAUGUGAUCCAAGUUAAUGAUCCGCUCUGCUUUUUUUAUUCAUCUCAUCGUCGGCAAUAAAAUAAACGACACAAAUAGAGUGUAAUGUAAAUAGGUGCAGAUCACAAUAUAAGACGUAAUAGUCUUUUAUGUAUUAAAAAUUUUAAAACCUAACUUUAUAAUUACGAAAACACAACACAUGCUUGGGAGGAAAUACACUAACUUCACAAGUUAUUAUUCAUUAUAUAUAAAAAAAUGUAAGAACAGAGAAUUCAAAAAUAGUUUGGAUAAAGUUGUGCUAGACUCCCUCGUCAUUCUCGUCCUCGAUGUUGCAGCUAUUGUUGCAGCUCCAGUCACACUUCAAGGUAAUGGGGAACGCGUGUUGUGUUGCUCCUCGUGACAAAAUGGUCCUCCUGCCUAACUCAUCAUCAGCUGCUGAGAGGAGGCAUUCUCCUACUUGAAGUUUCCGCUGGGAUAAUAAUAAUAGAGGCCGUGUAGCUGGUGAAGAAGCCUCUCUCAGUUGGUUGUCUGAUGGGAUUAGCCGGAACGAUGUGUCUGACAUCAAAUCUGAUUUUUUAUCAUCUCAAGGUUCCUCUUUGGACAGCUUUCGGACACAGACGAUGCAGAAGUCUCCGGCCUCAGAUUUAUCUUUUUCAAGAAAUUCUUCCAUGGAUACAGUCUUUGAGCAGAAAGAAAAUGAUUCAAUAGAAUCUGCAGCACCUUCAUACCCAUCUCCUGCACAAUUGUCUCUUUCACUUGCUUUACAACCAUCUUCUUUCCCAACGUCACCACUUCCCUCCCAGAUCUACUAUCACCCUGCAAGUUCAUCGACACUUAAUCCAACACAGCAAGUCUCCGAUGGUAAGAUCUGUGGAAUGAACUCACUUAGCAGAAGCUCAGCAACUGAAGAAGAAGAAAAGGGAACUCCUUUUAGAGUAAUUCAUAUACUACCACAGUAAAUGAAAAAUAAUGUGAUCCAACCAAAGAACGUCAUUUUGUUACAGCUCCCACUUGCAUCAACAUAACUCAAAAGCAGAGUCUUGAAGAUUUACCAAACUCCUUCAUAUCUUCAAUGGUGCUUUCUCUGGUAAGCAAAGAAAUUCAGCGACUGCAACAACAACAUAACUGAGUAACGAUCCAUUCAAGCGGGGUAUACAAAAGCAUUCUCUCAAUCAAAUUAAUGAUAGGAGAGAUUUUCAUUCAUUGUACUUACACCGAGCUUUUAAACAGACGUUUGUAUCACUGUUCUUUUCCUCAAAAAUUCUGUGGUAUCAGUUUUGAUGAAGGAUGUUUGUAGUUCUCGCCACCUGAAAUAUAUAUAUGAACGUUAGUGUAUAAUCAACAAAAUUCUUGUUAACAAUAAGUUGCAGAGAUCACUCCACUGUCAUCCUUAGUUCGAGCUUAGCCUAGAGAUUCCUCCUUUAAAUCACAGUUUGCUUCGAAGUCUUCAAACAAAUGCAACCUCCUUGUGCUUCCAAUGCUGAUGCAAAAUUUUCAUUACACCAUCAAAGACUCCUCUUCUACCUAAAUAAUGAAACAGAUACAUAUUGAAUAUUGUGUAAACCAAUCUGGUAACCUUUCGAAAAGGAAUAAGAAGAAGCGAAGAACAGAUUUGGAGGCUGUUACCAAGAACCAAUCUGCUGUACAUAUUCAGUCAGAUUCUUCUCAAGCAUUCUCUCUCUUCAUGAGUCAGUAUCUCAAUGUCAUCGUCGUGCUCAGAUGGUUUCCAUACUGAAUUAAAUUUAAACAACUCUAGUGUUGAUUUCAGCUGCUAUAAAAGAGGAGCAACCCAUCGAAGUAAUACUCCAUCUGCAUAGUCCAUUCCACAAACACAUGUAUUUUUGGCCCUGAAUUAAGUUUCGCACCUUUCAAAAGAGAAGAAUUUGCUAAAUAUUAAACGAACAUAAACACAAAACAAAAAAAAUCAGACAACAACAAACCUCUUCAAAACCUCCCUCUCUCUGUUUGUCUCUAGGACAACCUUACUGCAUUGAUCUCAGCGUGUGCGUCCGUAACUCUAGAUCUUUAUAUGCAUUCCAAUAGAGACGAACAUUAAUUAAUUAAGCAAACACAACCAACCAAAAAGAAGCAAAAUAAUUUAAAUCAAAUCGCCACAUAAUAAUGUGCAUAAUUAAACUGUAUUCGACGACAAAACCUAAACCUUAGCAGAGAUCACCUCUGAGAACACAACUCGUUUCAAAAUUUUUGGAUGAAUGGAACCUGAUCUGUUGAACUAAAUCGCUAAACUUUGUUCGUGAAGCUCGGAAAGGACUCUGAAAGUGUCAUCUUUUGAGAUAAGAGGUAAAAGAGGCUGAGAUCCACGCUUCAGAAAACAUUUAUACCGGCUUACUCGAGCUAUGCACCUUGUAUCACAGAUUCAUUUUGAGGUGUAGAAUAGGUUAGAUUAUACAAAAAAAAAUUAUGAAAUUCAGGGGUUUAGCAUAUCAGCUCAUACCUUUCGCCGAUAAAUAACAGAUCAAGUCCUAUGAGGAUCCCGCUUUGUGCAUGAUUCAGGGCUGUAGAUGGAGCUACACGCUUGAGGGAGCCGUCAUAGAGACCAACUCCUUGUUUCUUAGUUGGAGUGGAUUUCGCUGGAUUAUUAGCCAUCGAUGUGGUGGUCGAUAUCGCCGGAGUUCGGUUCUAGCCGAAGCUUUGGAGCUGCAAACAGUUUAUCAUCCAUAGCCAUAGCUUGAUUUUCAUGGCCAUAGCUUGAUAUUCUUGUAUAGAGGUUCUACGAUGUGGUUUGAUUUAAGUAUCGAUAAAGGGUUAUAUAAGAUGGAAAACAAAGGGAGGUGAAGGAAAAGAUCUCAUGAAGAUAAGAGUCAAAGAAAUGAAUUGAAUGUGUUAUCAAAACUCUGAAACGGAGAUUCAUAGAAAUCGGAAACGAUGGUGGUGGAGCGGAAAAGUUGCGUCGUUUGCUAUGAGCGCGAGAUGGGCAGUGUUAUAAUGGGCCACUUUGAUUUGUUAUAAGCCCAGCAAAUAAUGAUGUGCGAGAUAAAUUAAAUUGACGUGGCAGUAUAGUACUCCCUCAUUCGUUGAUUUUAUUUGCUGAGGUGGACACCCUCUCCUUUGAGUAUAUUCUCCUUUUAUUACUUGUUUGAUGUUUGUUCAUUAAAUAGUUUUAACAUUUUGCGACACUACCAUUUUUAUCGAUUGUAAAUGACGAAUACAAAUGUUGGUCUAUUAAAUAUAUCAUCGUUGUUGAAGAGUUAACGUAUUAUAGCUCAUUUAAUUAUUUUUAAGACUUCAUAUAUACAAAAAGAAAAUAAGUUUUACGGGUGACACAAAUUACCAAAACCAGUUAGGCAACAUUGAUUGUAAAAUGAGAAAAUAAAAUUAGGUUUUCUUCUCUCGAUUUGUUUACUAUUGACUUUGCAUAAGUGAUUUCAUUUUCUAUCCCUAUAACAUUGUGCUUUCGUUCUCGUUUCUUUUUACUAAUAAAAAUUUUGUCUCUUUUUUUUGUACUUUUUCUGUGAAUUCGGUGAAUUACAUAAAUGUCAAUUUAAAAAUAUGGACAUCUGUAAAAAUUAGUUCCACUCUAGAUACAUAUGUAAGAAUCAUUGACCAAAAGUUUAAAACUCGUUUUUUAAAAGAAAAAUCAUGAUGCAUAAAAAAUAUUUAUAUUGAUAAACACAACAUAUUUUAUUCGAGGACAUGUUAAAAUAUUAUAUU
Brassica napus (rape) is the source of this 6393-nucleotide long non-coding RNA. RefSeq lists it as uncharacterized. The transcript has 3 exons. The record is from RefSeq and is a predicted model, not a curated record. Lineage: Eukaryota; Viridiplantae; Streptophyta; Magnoliopsida; Brassicales; Brassicaceae.